RNAcentral lists this long non-coding RNA (397 nucleotides) under Brassica napus (rape). RNAcentral's name for it is "long non-coding RNA (BNAP_LNC027222)". Lineage: Eukaryota; Viridiplantae; Streptophyta; Magnoliopsida; Brassicales; Brassicaceae. The record is from RNAcentral.
AAAAUGAAUUAAAAAUAUUUGCAUGCCAAUAAAUGAGACUUGGUUCGUCUUGGAGAUAGCAGGAGUGAUCGUCGGUUCGUAAGAUUGAGGACACAACCCAAAUCCAAACAAUACAAAUUAAACACUGUUUGCUAUUUUUAGCAAGCUUCAUGCUUUGACCUGACUUCGUGUUCUGGUGGUAGAAGUUUCAGAAAGCUUCCCUUAGCCACUGGCGGAGUAGGAGUAGGAGGGGGUCGAUCACAAGCCGAUCUCGUUGUUGUUUCCGGUGAAUCCGAUGAUCCACUAUCUAUGGAACGGUUUAAAAAUACAUAAAAAUUAGUAAAACAUGAUCAAAGGUUUUUGAUCUUUCAAGAGGCCAAAAAAAACAAAAUGGUGUUUACCGAAUAGUGAUUUGACC